Molecule: ribosomal RNA, 1061 nt
Filed under: marine metagenome
Description: bacterial SSU rRNA
Rfam family: Bacterial small subunit ribosomal RNA
Source: RNAcentral
GCUCUUUCGUCGGGGAAGAAAAUGACUGUACCCGAAUAAGAAGGUCCGGCUAACUUCGUGCCAGCAGCCGCGGUAAUACGAAGGGACCUAGCGUAGUUCGGAAUUACUGGGCUUAAAGAGUUCGUAGGUGGUUGAAAAAGUUAGUGGUGAAAUCCCAGAGCUUAACUCUGGAACUGCCAUUAAAACUUUUCAGCUAGAGUAUGAUAGAGGAAAGCAGAAUUUCUAGUGUAGAGGUGAAAUUCGUAGAUAUUAGAAAGAAUACCAAUUGCGAAGGCAGCUUUCUGGAUCAUUACUGACACUGAGGAACGAAAGCAUGGGUAGCGAAGAGGAUUAGAUACCCUCGUAGUCCAUGCCGUAAACGAUGUGUGUUAGACGUUGGAAAUUUAUUUUCAGUGUCGCAGGGAAACCGAUAAACACACCGCCUGGGGAGUACGACCGCAAGGUUAAAACUCAAAUGAAUUGACGGGGACCCGCACAAGUAGUGGAGCAUGUGGUUUAAUUCGAAGAUACGCGCAGAACCUUACCAACACUUGACAUGUUCGUCGCGACUCUAAGAGAUUAGAGUUUUCGGUUCGGCCGGACGAAACACAGGUGCUGCAUGGCUGUCGUCAGCUCGUGUCGUGAGAUGUUGGGUUAAGUCCCGCAACGAGCGCAACCCUCACUUUUAGUUGCCAUCAUUAAGUUGGGCACUCUGAAAGAACUGCCAGUGAUAAGCUGGAGGAAGGUGGGGAUGACGUCAAGUCCUCAUGGCCCUUACGUGUUGGGCUACACACGUGCUACAAUGGUAUCUACAACAGGAAGCAAGACUGCGAAGUUAAGCAAAUCCCUAAAAGAUACCUCAGUUCGGAUUGCACUCUGCAACUCGAGUGCAUGAAGCUGGAAUUACUAGUAAUCGUGGAUCAGCGUGCCACGGUGAAUGCGUUCCCGGGUCUUGUACACACCGCCCGUCACACCAUGGGAGUUGGUUCUACCUUAAGGCAAGGUUUCAAACCCUUGACCACGGUAUAGUCAGCGACUGGGGUGAAGUCGUAACAAGGUAGCCGUAGGGGAACCUGCGGCUG